GCAUGGNUGUCNUCAGCUCGUGUCGUGAGAUGUUGGGUUAAGUCCCGCAACGAGCGCANCCCUUGUCCUUAGUUGCUACGCANGAGCACUCUAAGGAGACUGCCGGUGACAAACCGGANGAAGGUGGGGAUGACNUCAAGUCCUCAUGGCCCUUAUGGGUAGGGCUUCACACGUCAUACAAUGGUCGGAACAGAGGGUUGCCAACCCGCGAGGGGGAGCUAAUCCCAGAAAACCGAUCGUAGUCCGGAUUGCACUCUGCAACUCGAGUGCAUGANGCUGGAAUCGCUAGUAAUCGCGGAUCAGCAUGCCGCGGUGAAUACGUUCCCGGGUCUUGUACACAC
This 341-nucleotide ribosomal RNA is filed under the name uncultured bacterium. RNAcentral describes it as "partial 16S ribosomal RNA". It matches the Rfam family "Bacterial small subunit ribosomal RNA", at positions 1043 to 1390 of the family's 1533-position model. The record is from RNAcentral.